Molecule: ribosomal RNA, 465 nt
Filed under: uncultured bacterium
Lineage: Bacteria
Description: partial 16S ribosomal RNA
Rfam family: Bacterial small subunit ribosomal RNA
Source: RNAcentral
GACGAACGCUGGCGGCGUGCUUAACACAUGCAAGUCGAACGGAAAGGCCCUGCUUGCAGGGUACUCGAGUGGCGAACGGGUGAGUAACACGUGGGUGAUCUGCCCUGCACUUCGGGAUAAGCCUGUGAAACUGGGUCUAAUACCGGAUAGGAGCCAUUUUUAGUGUGAUGGUUGGAAAGUUUUUUCGGUGUAGGAUGAGCUCGCGGCCUAUCAGCUUGUUGGUGGGGUAAUGGCCUACCAAGGCGGCGACGGGUAGCCGGCCUGAGAGGGUGGACGGCCACACUGGGACUGAGAUAAGGCCCAGACUCCUACGGGAGGCAGCAGUGGGGAAUAUUGCACAAGGGGCGCAAGCCUGAUGCAGCGACGCCGCGUGGGGGAUGACGGCCUUAGGGUUGUAAACUCAUUUCGCUAGGGACGAAGCUUUUUGUGACGGUACCUAGAUAAGAAGCACCGGCUAACUACGUG